Molecule: Y RNA, 101 nt
Filed under: Nannospalax galili (Upper Galilee mountains blind mole rat)
Lineage: Eukaryota; Metazoa; Chordata; Mammalia; Rodentia; Spalacidae
Description: Y RNA (ENSNGAG00000004388.1)
Rfam family: Y RNA
About the family: Y RNAs are components of the Ro ribonucleoprotein particle (Ro RNP), in association with Ro60 and La proteins.
Source: Rfam by way of RNAcentral
GGUUGGACCCAGUGCACUGGUGCUUACAACUAAUUGGUCUCAACCAGUUACAGAUUUCUUUGUUCCUUCUCCACACCCAGCCUUCACUCAACCAGCCUUAA